AUGAUGACUCUCGGCAACGGAUAUCUCGGCUCUUGCAUCGAUGAAGAACGUAGUGAAAUGCGAUACCUGGUGUGAAUUGCAGAAUCCCGUGAACCAUCGAAACUUUGAAUGCAAGUUGCGCCCGAGGCCACCCGGCUGAGGGCAUGUCUGCCUGGGCGUCAUGC
This 164-nucleotide ribosomal RNA is filed under the name Pinanga albescens. RNAcentral describes it as "5.8S rRNA". It matches the Rfam family "5.8S ribosomal RNA". From Rfam's summary of the family: 5.8S ribosomal RNA (5.8S rRNA) is a component of the large subunit of the eukaryotic ribosome. It is transcribed by RNA polymerase I as part of the 45S precursor that also contains 18S and 28S rRNA. Functionally, it is thought that 5.8S rRNA may be involved in ribosome translocation. Lineage: Eukaryota; Viridiplantae; Streptophyta; Magnoliopsida; Arecales; Arecaceae. The record is from RNAcentral.